GGCGUGGCCAAGUGGUAAGGCAACGGGUUUUGGCCCUGUUAUUCGGAGGUUCGAAUCCUUCCG
RNAcentral lists this transfer RNA (63 nucleotides) under Roya anglica. Its description in RNAcentral is "tRNA-Gln". It matches the Rfam family "tRNA", at positions 6 to 65 of the family's 71-position model. Rfam says of the family: Transfer RNA (tRNA) molecules are approximately 80 nucleotides in length. Their secondary structure includes four short double-helical elements and three loops (D, anti-codon, and T loops). The record is from RNAcentral. Lineage: Eukaryota; Viridiplantae; Streptophyta; Zygnematophyceae; Zygnematales; Mesotaeniaceae.